RNAcentral lists this ribosomal RNA (239 nucleotides) under uncultured bacterium. RNAcentral's name for it is "partial 16S ribosomal RNA". It matches the Rfam family "Bacterial small subunit ribosomal RNA", at positions 95 to 334 of the family's 1533-position model. The record is from RNAcentral.
CCGGCGCACGGGUGAGUAACACGUAUCCAACCUGCCGUCUACUCUUGGACAGCCUUCUGAAAGGAAGAUUAAUACAAGAUGGCAUCAUGAGUUCACAUGUUCACAUGAUUAAAGGUAUUCCGGUAGACGACGGGGAUGCGUUCCAUUAGAUAGUAGGCGGGGUAACGGCCCACCUAGUCUUCGAUGGAUAGGGGUUCUGAGAGGAAGGUCCCCCACAUUGGAACUGAGACACGGUCCAA